CUAGAUCAGCAGGCCUUGAUCCUUCAAUAGAUUAGUUAACAACUAAACACCCAAGCCAGCGGGCUUUAACCU
RNAcentral lists this transfer RNA (72 nucleotides) under Gekko japonicus. Its description in RNAcentral is "tRNA-Asn". The record is from RNAcentral. Lineage: Eukaryota; Metazoa; Chordata; Lepidosauria; Squamata; Gekkonidae.